UAGUCCACGCCGUAAACGAUGUCUACUAGCCGUUGGGGGGCUUGACCCUUUAGUGGCGCAGCUAACGCGAUAAGUAGACCGCCUGGGGAGUACGGUCGCAAGAUUAAAACUCAAAUGAAUUGACGGGGGCCCGCACAAGCGGUGGAGCAUGUGGUUUAAUUCGAUGCAACGCGAAAAACCUUACCAGGCCUUGACAUCCUGAGAACUUUCUAGAGAUAGAUUGGUGCCUUCGGGAACUCAGUGACAGGUGUUGCAUGGCUGUCGUCAGCUCGUGUCGUGAGAUGUUGGGUUAAGUCCCGUAACGAGCGCAACCCUUAUCCUUACUUGCCAGCACUUCGGGUGGGAACUUUAAGGAGACUGCCGGUGACAAACCGGAGGAAGGAGAGGGAUGAUGUCAAGUCAUCAUGGCCCUUACGGGCCUGGGGCUACACACGUGCUACAAUGGACAGUACAGA
RNAcentral lists this ribosomal RNA (455 nucleotides) under uncultured bacterium. RNAcentral describes it as "bacterial SSU rRNA". It matches the Rfam family "Bacterial small subunit ribosomal RNA", at positions 791 to 1243 of the family's 1533-position model. The record is from RNAcentral.